RNAcentral lists this non-coding RNA (30 nucleotides) under Mus musculus (house mouse). The record is from RNAcentral. Lineage: Eukaryota; Metazoa; Chordata; Mammalia; Rodentia; Muridae.
UGAAACUUCGUGUUAAUCCAGUAUCGUAAA